UCUUUCGUUAAAGACCAGACGAGCAAAACUUAUGACUUUAGAAACACGAGAUGACGACAAAGUUGAACAAGUGGAAACCAACCUGGAAGACGAAUCCAGUUAUUAUGAAUAUUAAAUUAUUAUUGAUUGACCUUUGUAUAUAAUAUGUAUAUAAUGUAAAUUUUGUAUUACAUCCAGUAGGUAAUAACCAGAAGAAACGAAAAA
Molecule: long non-coding RNA, 204 nt
Organism: Episyrphus balteatus (marmalade hoverfly)
Lineage: Eukaryota; Metazoa; Arthropoda; Insecta; Diptera; Syrphidae
Exons: 2
Source: RefSeq, a predicted model, not a curated record